This is a long non-coding RNA of Oncorhynchus tshawytscha (Chinook salmon), 3816 nucleotides long. Lineage: Eukaryota; Metazoa; Chordata; Actinopteri; Salmoniformes; Salmonidae. The record is from Ensembl.
GAGAAAGCAGUCCUACUAGAUUUGUGUCUACAAGCAGCACUAGAUCACAGAGAAACAUUCCAGAGAACUGUGAACACACUGCUGUCACUGUUCUCUGUGUAUCAAACUGAGAGAUAUGACAUCCUGCUGGAUCUGUACUCUCAUGUGAAGUACAAUAGGAAUCAAACAGCCAGGAGUGUCCUUCCAUCAUUGCAGCCACUUUACCAGUCAGCUCCUGCAGUCUGGUCCAUAGACCUCUCAGAGAGAAAGACCUCCCUCCUCCUAGAAGUGCUGAAACUCCAACCAGGGAAGAAACCAGUAGAGCUGAAGGGCUGGUCAGAUGAAGAGAGUGAAGUGAGGAGUUUCCUUCAGUGUCUGUCCUACAUCUCACAGCUGAGAUUUUCUCCACUGAAGGAUAACAUAAAUAGGAGAAAGAGAGACAAGACAUUCCUACUGAAUCUGUGUCUUCAAGCAGCUCUCCAUGAGAGAGGAACCAUACAAACAACUGUAGAGAAAGUGUUGUCGCUGUCUAAAGUAUAUCACAAUCAGAAAUGUGAUUUCCUGCUGGAUCUGAUCUCACAUGCGAAGGACUAUGAGACUCAAACAGGCAGGAUGGUCCUUCCAGCAUUACAGCCACUUUACCAGUCAGCUCCUGCAGUCUGGUCCAUAGACCUCUCAGAGAGAAAGGCCUCCCUCCUCCUAGAAGUGCUGAAACUCCAACCAGAGCAGAAACCAGUAGAGCUGAAGGGCUGGUCAGAUGAAGAGAGUGAAGUGAGGAGUUUCCUUCAGUGUCUGUCCUACAUCUCACAGCUGAGUUUUAUUCCUCCACAGGAUCAGAGAAGAUCCCCUGAAGAGAGGACAAGGAGAGAGAAGACAUUCCUACUGAAUCUGUGUCUUCAAGCAGUUCUCCAUGAGAGAGGAACCAUACAAACAACUGUAGAGAAAGUGGUGUCACUGUCUGAAGUAUAUCACAACCAGAAAUGUGAUUUCCUGCUGGAUCUGAUCUCACAUGUGAAGGACUAUGAGACUCAAACAGGCAGGAGUGUCCUUCCAGCAUUACAGCCAGUUUACCAGUCAGCUCCUGCAGUCUGGUCCAUAGACCUCUCAGAGAGAAAGGCCUCCCUCCUCCUAGAAGUGCUGAAACUCCAACCAGAGAAGAAACCAGUAGAGCUGAAGGGCUGGUCAGAUGAAGAGAGUGAAGUGAGGAGUUUCCUUCAGUGUCUGUCCCACAUCUCACAGCUGAGUUUCUAUACAGACUGGUCUGAUUCCUCAAAGCUGAUCAAGUUCCUGGUGGAUCUCCUGUCUCAAGCAGCAGAGUGGGAGGAGCAGACAGGAGAGAAGACACUGAAGCUGGUAUCAUCAGUGUGGACUUACAGCACCUUUCCUUAUCGCCAUGGAGACAAUUAUAAACAGAGUGAUUUCCUGUUGGAUCUGUACUCACAUGUGAAGGACUAUGAGACUCAAACAGGCAGGAGUGUCCUUCCAGCAUUACAGCCAGUUUACCAGUCAGCUCCUGCAGUCUGGUCCAUAGACCUCUCAGAGAGAAAGGCCUCCCUCCUCCUAGAAGUGCUGAAACUCCAACCAGAGAAGAAACCAGUAGAGCUGAAGGGCUGGUCAGAUGAAGAGAGUGAAGUGAGGAGUUUCCUUCAGUGUCUGUCCUACAUCUCACAGCUGAGUUUCCAUCCAUGGAGGUCUGAUCCCUCAAAGCAGAUCAAGUUCCUGGUGGAUCUCCUGUCUCAAGCAGCAGAGUGGGAGGAGCAGACAGGAGAGAAGACACUGAAGCUGGUAUCAUCAGUGUGUACUUACAGCACCUUUCCCUUCUGUGAAUGGGAUCAUGAUGUUGAGGUAUAUCAAUGUGAUUUCCUGUUGGAUCUGUACUCACAUGUGAAGGACUCUGAGACUCAAACAGGCAGGAGUGUCUUUCCAGCAUUACUGCCAGUUUACCAGUCAGCUCCUGCAGUCUGGUCCAUAGACCUCAGAAAGAGAAAGGCCUCCCUCCUCCUAGAAGUGCUGAAACUCCAACCAGGGAAGAAACCAGUAGAGCUGAAGGGCUGGUCAGAUGAAGAGAGUGAAGUGAGGAGUUUCCUUCAGUGUCUGUCCUACAUCUCACAGCUGAGAUUUCCUCUACUGAAGGAUAAUAUAGAGACAAGAAAGAGAGAGAAGACAUUCCUACUGAAUCUGUGUCUUCAAGCAGUCCUCCAUGAGAGAGGAACCAUACAAACAACUGUAGAGAAAGUGUUGUCGCUGUCUAAAGUAUAUCGCUUUCAGAAAUGUGAUUUCCUGCUGGAUCUGUACUCACAUGUGAAGGACUAUGAGACUCAAACAGGCAGGAGUUUCCUACCAGCAUUACAGCCAUCUCCUGCAGUCUGGUCCAUAGACCUCUCAGAGAGAAAGGCCUCCCUCCUCCUAGAAGUGCUGAAACUCCAACCAGAGAAGAAACCAGUUGAGCUGAAGGACUGGUCAGAUGAAGAGAGUGAAAUGAGGAGUUUCCUUCAGUGUCUGCCCUACAUCUCACAGCUUAGUUUCUGUCCACGGAGGUCUGAUCCCUCAGAGCAGAUCAAGUUCCUGGUGGAUCUCCUGUCUCAAGCAGCAGAGUGGGAGGAGCAGACAGGAGAGAAGACACUGAAGCUGGUAUCAUCAGUGUGUUCUUACAGCACCUUUCCUUUUCUCAAUGGAGACAAUUCUCAACAGAGUAAUUUCCUGCUGGAUCUGUACUCACAUGUGAAGGACUAUGAGACUCAAACAGGCAGGAGUGUCCUUCCAGCAUUACAGCCAGUUUACCAGUCAGCUCCUGCAGUCUGGUCCAUAGACCUCUCAGAGAGAAAGGCCUCCCUCCUCCUAAAAGUGCUGAAACUCCAACCAGAGAAGAAACCAGUAGAGCUGAGGGGCUGGUCAGAUGAAGAGAGUGAAGUGAGGAGUUUCCUUCAGUGUCUGUCCUAUAUCUCACAGCUGAGUUUUAUUCCUCCACAGGAUCAGAGAAGAUCCCCUGAAGAGAGGACAAGGAGAGAGAAGACAUUCCUACUGAAUCUGUGUCUUCAAGCAGUUCUCCAUGAGAGAGGAACCAUACAAACAACUGUAGAGAAAGUGUUGUCACUGUCUAAAGUAUAUCGCUUUCAGAAAUGUGAUUUCCUGCUGGAUCUGUACUCACAUGUGAAGGACUCUGAGACUCAAACAGGCAGGAGUUUCCUUCCAGCAUUACAGCCAGUUUACCAGUCAGCUCCUGCAGUCUGGUCCAUAGACCACAGAAAGAGAAAGGCCUCCCUUCUCCUAGAAGUGCUGAAACUCCAACCAGAGAAGAAACCAGUAGAGCUGAAGGGCUGGUCAGAUGAAGAGAGUGAAAUGAGGAGUUUCCUUCAGUGUCUGUCCUACAUCUCACAGCUGAGGUGAGUCUGAACAUGUGGUGGUUAGUGAUCAUGUGAUGCUAGUGGUUAUUAUCUUGAAACAUUUGACAUAUAAAACUUCAAUUGUUGGUAAAUCUUGUAGCAGUAGGAAGAGAGAGAGAGAAAGUUAGAGAGAGAGGUAAGAGAGAGAGAGAGAGAGAGAGAGAGAGAGAGCGAGAGACUACGACGAAAAGACUUCCACCCCGCCACAAUACAGCGGGUAAAUGCAAGUAUUUCCCGUGACUGUGCCUCAAAACCAAACGUUUUCCUGGCCCACCACUCCACCCUGGACUUGAACAGCCUCUAUGACCAGGUCCACCUCUACAAGGCAGCAGUGCCCACCUUUGCCCGGACUCUAAAGGACAUCGCUCUCAAACGUAUCUCCAACACUUCACACAGGAGCAACAGAUCAAUAGACACCCCGCCCAGACCAGCGAGACACCCUCCCAGACCUGCG